Molecule: ribosomal RNA, 404 nt
Filed under: Pseudomonas sp.
Lineage: Bacteria; Pseudomonadati; Pseudomonadota; Gammaproteobacteria; Pseudomonadales; Pseudomonadaceae
Also listed under: 2 other names
Description: partial 16S ribosomal RNA
Rfam family: Bacterial small subunit ribosomal RNA
Source: RNAcentral
UGGGGAAUAUUGGACAAUGGGCGCAAGCCUGAUCCAGCCAUGCCGCGUGAGUGAUGAAGGCCCUAGGGUUGUAAAGCUCUUUCACCGGUGAAGAUAAUGACGGUAACCGGAGAAGAAGCCCCGGCUAACUUCGUGCCAGCAGCCGCGGUAAUACGAAGGGGGCUAGCGUUGUUCGGAUUUACUGGGCGUAAAGCGCACGUAGGCGGUCUUUUAAGUCAGGGGUGAAAUCCCGGGGCUCAACCCCGGAACUGCCUUUGAUACUGGAAGUCUUGAGUAUGGUAGAGGUGAGUGGAAUUCCGAGUGUAGAGGUGAAAUUCGUAGAUAUUCGGAGGAACACCAGUGGCGAAGGCGGCUCACUGGACCAUUACUGACGCUGAGGUGCGAAAGCGUGGGGAGCAAACAGG